GUCACCAUAUGGCACAAAUGUCACAUUUUUAAGGCAAAAUGGAAUAUAGAUUAUUGUGAUAUUAAAUAAGAUGGCAAAGCAUUAUUUUUAUUAUGCAAUGACACUGUAUCUAUGCUAAAACAAUAUGAUAUAUGUCAACCUAAACUAAGCAGUCUUGAAAAUAUUCCUAAUAUUAGAGGAAAACAAUUCAGAAAAAUCAGAAAAUUUCAAAUGAAAUAACUCAUCAACACAACAAUAAAAAAUCAAAAUGAAACUGCAAAGUAAGUUUCCAAUGGUCCAUUUGUAAGUCAAAUAAAGAAAGUUGCUUACUUACUGGUGGUGAGUUCAUUAAAUUGUGUUUGAUUGUAGUUAUUGAUGUAACGUGUCCAGAGAAAAUAAACUUAUUUUAGAUUAAUUAGACUUUCAGUGAGAACAAUUCUCAAAAACCUGAGGACACUAGAAGGACUAUCAAUAGACAAUUGAAAAAAUAAGAAAAGUGAUUUUCCUAGAUUAUCAAUGAGUUCACAGAUGUUAUCAAUACCACUUAGUUUCCUUUUUCUUUUUGUAGUACUAGGGAUUUAACCACACAGGAGC
This 573-nucleotide long non-coding RNA is filed under the name Marmota monax (woodchuck). Lineage: Eukaryota; Metazoa; Chordata; Mammalia; Rodentia; Sciuridae. The record is from RNAcentral.